Molecule: long non-coding RNA, 1109 nt
Filed under: Equus caballus (horse)
Lineage: Eukaryota; Metazoa; Chordata; Mammalia; Perissodactyla; Equidae
Description: lncRNA (ENSECAG00000058146.1)
Source: RNAcentral
CCUGCGGGCUGGAGCGGGAGCUGCGUCCUGCUCGGGCUACUGCUUUUGCAUGUGGAGAAGGAAUAAAGCUUGAAGCCCCGGGGCUGCCGCCUUGGGGGAACGCUCCUGCCGGAACCCGGGGUCAACCGGAAGUCUGUGAACUGCGACCCCGGGAGGGAGCUCCCUCAGCGGCCUGGGGCCAGGAGUUGAAAUCACACUUUUCCUCGUGACAGGACCCUGUUUUCUCAGCAAUGAUCGUCUUUACUCAGAUGCACUUCUGAGACAGUUUUCACUCACUCUCUGGGCGAUUUCCAUACAGUGGCGCUGGAGACUGGUCUAGAAAUGGAUGGCCAGUUUUUAUUCAAUGAAUGGAGCAUCAGUAAGCAUAAUAGAGAAAUCGAUUUGUAUUUGUUUCUGGCCAAAAUAUAACCUUUUUAUUAUACAAGUCCUGGCCAAUAUUAAGAUUUGCUGGCGUUUGCUGAGAACACACUGAUUUGCAAGGACAGAGCCCCAGUCAUUGACCUGGCAGAAACUUAGUUCCCUCCUGUAUCCACAUGCAACCACCAUAUGCCAUUGUUACCACGGGAUAGCUUCUAAAAGCUGAGAUGCAAGGUUUCAGAUUUCCUGUGGGAGAAUGGCUUCAAGAGUUAGGCUUAGGGUCUUAGUUUGCUUUGGCUGCGGUAACACAGUAUCCAGUCUGGGUGGCUUAAACAACAGUUGCUUUUUUUCUCAGAGUUCUGGAAGUCUGAGAUCAAGGUGCUAGACAUCUGAGACCACAGUUUCCCAUUUUAGUCAAUGAGUCAUGAUCCAUAUUAUCAUUAUUUAUUUUGAUAAAUGUAUCGAUCAUAUAUAUUUAUAAGUGAUAGGGGUAUCAGUGGGUUGGUUUCUUUUGAGGUCUUUCUCCUUGGCUUGCACAUGCUCAUCUUCUCCCUUUGUCUUCACAUGGUCUUUCUUUUGUGCACGUCUGUGGCUAAUUUCCUCUUCUUUUUUGCUUUUGUUUUUGUUUUUUUGAGGAAGAUUAGCCCUCGGCUAACAUCCGCUGCCAAUCCUCCUCUUUUUUUGCUGAGGAAGACUGGCCCUGAGCGAACAUCCACGCCCAUCUUCCUCUAUUUUAUAUAUGGGAUGCCUAC